RNAcentral lists this long non-coding RNA (1103 nucleotides) under Homo sapiens (human). RNAcentral describes it as "HSALNT0345117". The record is from RNAcentral. Lineage: Eukaryota; Metazoa; Chordata; Mammalia; Primates; Hominidae.
CCUACCACCUGUGUCACAUCCCAUUAGGUUCUGUGGAUGAGGCAUGGUGCUUGGCACAGACUGACACAAGUUUGGGCAAACUUGGCAGAGCAGCCUAACCCAAAGCGAAAAACAGAAAUGAACCAAGAUACAACCUCUGUGGAAAACCCUACUGAACAAAAGCAACUCUGUGGAGUGUCCUCUCAGCUGCAAAUUGAGACAGAAUUGUGGGGCAAGCUUGGCCACUGAUGCAGAUUCUGCAGCUUGCUACACAGAAAGCCAGAGACCGAGAGCCAAUGACUGAGACUAUGAGUAUUGCCAAGGAAGAAGGCUUUAAUCGGGUGCUGCAGCUGAAAAGAUGAGAGCUCAGCCUCAAAUCCAUCUCCCUGACCAACUAAAGCUAAGGAUUUAUAUAGCAGGGAAGAAGACAGGAACUAGGAAGGGGCAAGGAAGCGAUCCUGAUGAAUGAAGGGUCAGGCAUUUCAUUGUCUGGAUGUGGCGAUCUGCUCACACUGGUCACACCUGGGACUUCCAACAUGAAUGCUUUUGUCACGGAUGCUGCGCUGCUGCUGUUUCUGGUUCUUACUCUGCUUACACCAAGGAGACUGAUGUCCCUGCUAUAACCCCACUUCCGAUGCAGACAGCAAUUCCAAUGCAUUGCAGCUUUCAGGAUUUUCUCACUGUGUUUUUGCCUCUCCUUUUCUUUAAGACAUGAGCAUUUGUCUACGGGGAUGGCCUGAAGUGUAGUCUCCAUUACCCAGAGUCAUCUCACUCUCUGACCUUGACUCAUGAUCUGAGAACAAGUGCUCCCCUGCUUGUCUUCCUGAGGGGCAUCUGUCCCUCUUGCAAACAGAUUUCCUUUGGGCUCUGUCAUUUAGAAAUGCCCUUAUUUAUCUGAAUUAUAGUUCCAGUUCAGAACAUUUACAAAGGAACAGAUUGCUCCCAAUUUUAAAGCAGGUAAAUUCUAAAAGUUGGCAAGCCAGUCAUUUAGAAUUUGAGCCUCAUAUUCCAUAGGUAUGAAAUUAUACAUAAUGAAAAAGUUCCCAGGGCAGCCCACAAAAAGCCUACUUAUCCAAAAUAAAGCUAACCUGAGUUAAUUCAGCUCUAUGGCCUAGCCACAUUCA